Molecule: long non-coding RNA, 1684 nt
Organism: Cygnus olor (mute swan)
Lineage: Eukaryota; Metazoa; Chordata; Aves; Anseriformes; Anatidae
Exons: 2
Source: RefSeq, a predicted model, not a curated record
AUACAUUUCUGCUUUCCAAGAGAAGUGCCAGAGAAAGUACUCUAUUUUUGUAAGAGUUUAAAGGGCAUGGUCAGAGAAGUGACUAUGUAAAAAUGGCACCUUUUCAUCCAGCAGAUCUGUUCCCAGUGAGUAUUCUGACUCAUGUCUGCUUACUUUAGUGACCAAAAUAGAUUUUUACUACUUCUCACUCCUCUUUAGCCCUGCAGAACCAACACAGCAAGUGGGGAGUUAUAUAAAUCCUACACGGGACCAAAACCCACAGGGACUUGUGAGCUGCAUAUGAGGUGCAGGAGCGAGGGCUGGAUGUGCCUCCGAGGGUGGCUGCAGGGGCAGCACCGUGGUCCAUCAUUUUCCCUGCCCUGUGCCACACACGGCUCAUUACAGCGGGUGUUGAUAACCAAAGGGGAUGGGAGAGGAGGAGAACUCCCCUUCCCUCUGUCCCCACACCCAGCAGCAAACCUGACCCUGCAGCAUCUCCGCUCUGUGCUCCUGCAGCCAAGGCCAAAGAUCAGCUGCUGGAGCCUGGCUCAGUCCCUGGACGCAGAACUCAGUGCAGUUAACUGCAGACAGCUGAUGGCCAAGAUACCUAGUGACACCAGCAGCAGUCCCACCUCAGCUGAUGGACAGAGGCUGCCUUCCCAGGGACUUUCCCAGACUAACGUGAUUGUCUCAGAUUGGCAAGAUUAACCUGUCCUCUGGCUAGGGAGGGAGCUGACACAAUUACCGUCCACUAGUUGCUAGGUUUUUAGAUGGCUACAGCUAGGUGAGGUGAAUCCUAUACUCACAAAGCAGUUUUUCCUGUUCACUACAGCAAAUCUGACUUCUCUGCAUAGAAGGUGGAAGAACCCAAAUCUCAGAUUUCUCUGCACUCUUCAUUUCAAGAGCAUGAUAAAUUGCUUCGCUGACAUGAAACCUUGGUUGUGCCUACUAAGAGGUGCUCUUUGUGGUUUCAGGAUGUUGACAUACAUAUUGGUGACAGACGAUUUGGCUUGUCCUGAUCGCUAGAGAUAUCGAGCAUGUUACAGACUGUUUGCUAUAAAUUCAUAAAAAUACCAGAGAACUUAUAAACACUGCAAAGGAAUGAAAAGUACUGAUCCGAGUUCCCAGUUUCACAUUCUAAGCAACUAUAACGAAACUAGGGAAAAGGCAAAAAAUGCCUACCAGUCUUCAUUUGAUUUCAAAUUCUUUUUUUUUUUUUUCUUUUUCAAACCUGCUUUUAAUGCCACAGGCACAGACCUGUGUCUAAAACUCUGUAAAGCUUUGAAGAGCCAACUACAGUCAGAAGAAUCAGUGCGACACUAGUUCUUUGGAGAAAUGAUUGGUAACUUUUACCAUACCUGCUUCACAUGGGUCCUGCAAAUCGGCUUCUUUUUCAAGCAGCGUUUGCAGUUUAGUCUCAGCGCAAGUUGUUAUGCAAUGUAUUAAUGUUACUUUUGUAGUUAUACUAUAAAUCUUUUCCGUCUAAUUUGUGAACUCUAUAGAGAACAGUCCAUUUUAUAAACAGAAUUUUAAAACACCAGGUUUAAAAUUUAUUACAGAGUUCAUUCAGAACUGACAAAGACUUCUUAGAAAACUGAAUUUUGCUUCAGACUUCCCUUCCGUAUAGCUACUAAGCUUUUUUCUUUUUAAAGACCUUUUAAUUGUUUUAAUUACACAGAAAAUAAAAAUAUAAUCAAUGAUAGAA